RNAcentral lists this ribosomal RNA (531 nucleotides) under Pichia kudriavzevii. RNAcentral's name for it is "eukaryotic LSU rRNA". It matches the Rfam family "Eukaryotic large subunit ribosomal RNA", at positions 36 to 633 of the family's 3401-position model. Lineage: Eukaryota; Fungi; Ascomycota; Pichiomycetes; Pichiales; Pichiaceae. The record is from RNAcentral.
AAGCAUAUCAAUAAGCGGAGGAAAAGAAACCAACAGGGAUUGCCUCAGUAGCGGCGAGUGAAGCGGCAAGAGCUCAGAUUUGAAAUCGUGCUUUGCGGCACGAGUUGUAGAUUGCAGGUUGGAGUCUGUGUGGAAGGCGGUGUCCAAGUCCCUUGGAACAGGGCGCCCAGGAGGGUGAGAGCCCCGUGGGAUGCCGGCGGAAGCAGUGAGGCCCUUCUGACGAGUCGAGUUGUUUGGGAAUGCAGCUCCAAGCGGGUGGUAAAUUCCAUCUAAGGCUAAAUACUGGCGAGAGACCGAUAGCGAACAAGUACUGUGAAGGAAAGAUGAAAAGCACUUUGAAAAGAGAGUGAAACAGCACGUGAAAUUGUUGAAAGGGAAGGGUAUUGCGCCCGACAUGGGGAUUGCGCACCGCUGCCUCUCGUGGGCGGCGCUCUGGGCUUUCCCUGGGCCAGCAUCGGUUCUUGCUGCAGGAGAAGGGGUUCUGGAACGUGGCUCUUCGGAGUGUUAUAGCCAGGGCCAGAUGCUGCGUGC